This 544-nucleotide long non-coding RNA is filed under the name Equus caballus (horse). Its description in RNAcentral is "lncRNA (ENSECAG00000053628.1)". The record is from RNAcentral. Lineage: Eukaryota; Metazoa; Chordata; Mammalia; Perissodactyla; Equidae.
GUGCAUAAGAUUUGGCACUGGAUCAUAAGGACAAAUGAAGAUGCUCUUGGUUUCCCAGUCGUAGUGUAUUUGGGGGAGGGCGUGGGCUGCCAAGAAGAGGGGAUGGGGUAGAAAGCCAGAUUCGGGGAACUGGCUGGGCAGGGAGACAGAGGGAGCGUGGCUGAGCCAGGGUCACUUCCCAGCAGGGCAGCAAGGUCCCUGGGGAGUGACAGGACUCUCAGAUCUGUUGGGAGCAAAGUUCUUGUAGAGUCCCAUCUGGGCUCUGGGGACCCUCAGAUCACUCUGCCAUUUUGUCUCGACUUCAGCCCAGCACCUGCGCCAAUCCAGCUUCGGCCACCAUCUCCAUCCCUGUGGAGGGGGAACUUGGUCCCCCUCACCCUGCAGGCUGGCGCCAAGGUUUAUGAGCCAGCCUCUGAGAGCCACAUGGGUGGAAAAAGUUACCCGGUUCUAAAUCAGCCAGCCUUUGGGUGAUCUCAUCCCCUUCCCAAUAUAGUCGCAGUCCCCUCCCCCACUGGCUGGACCCUGGCCAAUGGGGUAAGUCACG